AGGCUCCACUCGUCCAAACACAAUUGCAUAGAGAGAGCCUUUGGAGUGUGGAAGAUGAAAUGGCAGAUUCUUCUAAAGAUGCCAAGCUACUCCAUCGAAACACAAAAGAUGAUUGUUGCUGCUACUAUGACUUUGCACAACUAUGUUCGCUUCCAUGAUGAAGAAGAUAUUCACUUUGUUCGAUGUGACAAGGACCCGGACUAUGUGCCAACAAUUCCGGAACGAUACAAGAAAUUUGUUGUUCCUUCACACGCAUCGGAUACAUCAACUACAGCGGAAAAUGGUGAAGACAUGGAUGUGUUUAGGCAAGAACUAGCUACAGCCAUUGCUCUAAGUUGGUGA
RNAcentral lists this ribosomal RNA (342 nucleotides) under Triticum aestivum (bread wheat). Its description in RNAcentral is "partial small subunit ribosomal RNA". The record is from RNAcentral. Lineage: Eukaryota; Viridiplantae; Streptophyta; Magnoliopsida; Poales; Poaceae.